Molecule: unclassified non-coding RNA, 361 nt
Filed under: Hevea brasiliensis (rubber tree)
Lineage: Eukaryota; Viridiplantae; Streptophyta; Magnoliopsida; Malpighiales; Euphorbiaceae
Source: RNAcentral
AAUAUGGCCUUUUCUACCUUCAUCAGGGCCCUUUCAUCUUUAGAACUUUUUUAUGAUCUUUGCCACUUUUGCAUAUGAAGCCUAGUUGUGCUUCUAUUUCACUUGUAUAUUGGAGCAUGUAGCUGAGGAGCCUUAUCUUGCUUGAGUAUAAAGUUGCAGCCAUCACCAAUAUGCUGAUGAAAUGUAUUCAACAUUCUGUGUGGUAGAUGAAUAUUUGUUGAAUUUUAUUAGCAAGCAUGGUUGGUCCUUUCUCUAAAUUAGGGAAGCUUCUUUGUAAUUUGUGCUUCAUAUUUGGAUGUCAUGAUUUACUUCUUGAAGAAAAUAUUGUUCUUCCAUGCAGGAAGUGAGAUAUCUUUCUUCA